RNAcentral lists this ribosomal RNA (440 nucleotides) under Salmonella enterica subsp. enterica serovar Anatum. RNAcentral's name for it is "bacterial SSU rRNA". It matches the Rfam family "Bacterial small subunit ribosomal RNA", at positions 338 to 795 of the family's 1533-position model. The record is from RNAcentral. Lineage: Bacteria; Pseudomonadati; Pseudomonadota; Gammaproteobacteria; Enterobacterales; Enterobacteriaceae.
CCUACGGGGGGCAGCAGUGGGGAAUAUUGCACAAUGGGCGAAAGCCUGAUGCAGCAACGCCGCGUGAGUGAUGAAGGCCUUCGGGUUGUAAAGCUCUGUCUUUGGGGACGAUAAUGACGGUACCCAAGGAGGAAGCCACGGCUAACUACGUGCCAGCAGCCGCGGUAAUACGUAGGUGGCGAGCGUUGUCCGGAUUUACUGGGCGUAAAGGAUGCGUAGGCGGAUAUUUAAGUGAGAUGUGAAAUACCCGAGCUUAACUUGGGUGCUGCAUUUCAAACUGGAUAUCUAGAGUGCGGGAGAGGAAAGUGGAAUUCCUAGUGUAGCGGUGAAAUGCGUAGAGAUUAGGAAGAACACCAGUGGCGAAGGCGAUUCUCUGGACCGUAACUGACGCUGAGGCACGAAAGCGUGGGUAGCAAACAGGAUUAGAUACCCUUGUAGUC